This 1098-nucleotide ribosomal RNA is filed under the name Salmonella enterica subsp. enterica serovar Kentucky. Its description in RNAcentral is "partial 23S ribosomal RNA". It matches the Rfam family "Bacterial large subunit ribosomal RNA", at positions 140 to 1254 of the family's 2925-position model. The record is from RNAcentral. Lineage: Bacteria; Pseudomonadati; Pseudomonadota; Gammaproteobacteria; Enterobacterales; Enterobacteriaceae.
UCGUCACACUAUCAUUAACUGAAUCCAUAGGUUAAUGAGGCGAACCGGGGGAACUGAAACAUCUAAGUACCCCGAGGAAAAGAAAUCAACCGAGAUUCCCCCAGUAGCGGCGAGCGAACGGGGAGGAGCCCAGAGCCUGAAUCAGCAUGUGUGUUAGUGGAAGCGUCUGGAAAGGCGCGCGAUACAGGGUGACAGCCCCGUACACAAAAGCGCAUGUGCUGUGAGCUCGAUGAGUAGGGCGGGACACGUGGUAUCCUGUCUGAAUAUGGGGGGACCAUCCUCCAAGGCUAAAUACUCCUGACUGACCGAUAGUGAACCAGUACCGUGAGGGAAAGGCGAAAAGAACCCCGGCGAGGGGAGUGAAAAAGAACCUGAAACCGUGUACGUACAAGCAGUGGGAGCACAGGUUUACCUGUGUGACUGCGUACCUUUUGUAUAAUGGGUCAGCGACUUAUAUUCUGUAGCAAGGUUAACCGAAUAGGGGAGCCGUAGGGAAACCGAGUCUUAACCGGGCGUUAAGUUGCAGGGUAUAGACCCGAAACCCGGUGAUCUAGCCAUGGGCAGGUUGAAGGUUGGGUAACACUAACUGGAGGACCGAACCGACUAAUGUUGAAAAAUUAGCGGAUGACCUGUGGCUGGGGGUGAAAGGCCAAUCAAACCGGGAGAUAGCUGGUUCUCCCCGAAAGCUAUUUAGGUAGCGCCUCGUGAACUCAUCUCCGGGGGUAGAGCACUGUUUCGGCUAGGGGGCCAUCCCGGCUUACCAACCCGAUGCAAACUGCGAAUACCGGAGAAUGUUAUCACGGGAGACACACGGCGGGUGCUAACGUCCGUCGUGAAGAGGGAAACAACCCAGACCGCCAGCUAAGGUCCCAAAGUCAUGGUUAAGUGGGAAACGAUGUGGGAAGGCCCAGACAGCCAGGAUGUUGGCUUAGAAGCAGCCAUCAUUUAAAGAAAGCGUAAUAGCUCACUGGUCGAGUCGGCCUGCGCGGAAGAUGUAACGGGGCUAAACCAUGCACCGAAGCUGCGGCAGCGAACGUAUCACUUAAAGCGAUUCAGCGGGUUACGAUUGACGGAGCGAAGCGACGUCAAAGCGUAUAC